This 2588-nucleotide long non-coding RNA is filed under the name Cricetulus griseus (Chinese hamster). RNAcentral describes it as "lncRNA (ENSCGRG00015030108.1)". The record is from RNAcentral. Lineage: Eukaryota; Metazoa; Chordata; Mammalia; Rodentia; Cricetidae.
GGGAUUGGUUUCAGAGCAAAGAUGAUUCAUUUGUGAUUCACUUUGUGGAAACAGUCUUAGUGCUGCUCUUUUGAGGCAAUAUAGACGUUUGAGAAAGAGCCAGAAGUUUCAAGUAGACUCAGCCAGGCUCUCCUUGGAGACUCGUGAGGCUAAGUUCAAGCCAGCUGGAGGCAUAUGCAACAAAUUCAAAACUUAACCUGGCCAGGUGAUGCCUUCCCUGGGUUUCUCCAUUGGAAGUCAUCUCCUUCUCCAUUCCAGUAGCAGCAGACUACUGGAGGGGGGAUGUUGGCAGGAGAAUGCAGACUGCUCUGUGAUGAGCAGAGUAGAAACCAGGAACAAGGAGCUUAAGUCACUGGGGAAGAACAGCUUUUGCAAAGUCCGGAGCUGCCUCUGUGGGUACCACUUCCUACUCUUAGUUUUUGGCACCAGUUGUGUCUACUGAUAUGGAUGCCAGACUUGAAAGAUGUUUGUUAUUGUGUGAAAUUGAGGGUCAGGUUUUAUUAAUUUGUUACUUUCCAAGAAAGAAUUACUUGUUCAGAAACUAAAUUAGGGUGCAGUGACCAAUAUCUGGCUUUAGGGUUACUUAGAAGGCACCAUGACUUGUUGGCUGGUUUGUGAGUUGUGUGUGUGUGUGUGUGUGUGUGUGUGUGUGUGUGUGUGUGUGUGUGUGUGAGUGUGUGUGUGUGUGUGUGUGUUCUCUUGUUGUCUACUGUCAACUCCUAUCCUCCUGUGUCAUCUUUUCCUAAAAACAUGAGACUUAGUCAUACUCAAGACAAACGCAUAACUGCUUCAUACCUCUCUCCUCCCUUCCCCCUUUAUGAAAUGCUGGGGAUAGAACUUGCGACCUUUUAUACAUGUGAAGCAAGUGCUUUGCCACUGAACUACAUGCCCGUCCUUCCCCUACAUACUUAUAAACCCACAAAAUUACAUAAGUCGAUUGCAGGUCCUUUUAUAAAUAGCCUGGAUGAGAUGAUGAACCAGUUCACCAUUUGUGACACGAAGCGUCUUGUUCUCCAGAGGACUCCUGCAAUAGCUGAACAAAGUCACCAGCUCUUCAGCGUGCAUUUCUGGGAUGGCAUGCAAAUACAGACAGCACAGAGCCCAGAGUGUGGCAUUUGGACUCACUCUUGGCUCUGGGCCAGCUCUCAUCCCCAUAUGACUUGACAAAAUGGGACCCAGCAUAAAAGGCAUAGAUGGACCAGAGAGAUCUUCCACCUCCUCAACGUUUCAUGGAACCUGUCAUUUUCCUCAGGCUGCACAAACAGAAAGAAUCUUUUUCCUCCAGACUCAAAUUGAGCAGAACGGCAGAGCAGAUGGUGCUGGUCAGUUAAGUAACAGCAGAACACAGGGAACAACUUGUUUUCAAAAACAAAUGGCCCUUCUUGGAAGGUACAAUCUAAUAGGGCUGUCAAAACUCAAACUCGGAGAAUUUCUCUCUAAGCAACAGCCUGCAAGCCAUUUCCCUAAGCUGGGCUGCAAGGGAUUCAGGGAUCUCUCUCUUCUGUUUUUCUUUAUGCUGAGGGCAGUAUGGCUCACAGAAGGCAGGGGAUAAUGAAUAAUGAUGAUCAGUCCAAGCAGAUCAAUGUUAUUGCAUGUUUCUGUUUCCAUAGUUCCCACACCUUGACUCACACAGUUUCCUCAAUCAAGUGCAAAGAAGCCAGAGAAUUCAUACUCAUUUUUCUGUUAAAAAAAAAAAGGUCAAAAAAGUUUGACACUUUGCUGAGGUGAAGUUGUAAUAAGCACGAUGUUUAAGGUUGUCUAUUUAUUGUUCAUUUAUUCAUCUGAGUGUGCAUGUAUGCUUCGUUCAUGGUGUGUGUUGGGCCUGGAGACCAUGCAGUGAACCAGUGCAUCAUAUCCUUUGCUUACAAGGAGACUCUAGUUUAGCAGAUGGGGACAAAGGAAUAGCUAAUGACAACAAAUACAACAGAGGUGGGUAAGAACAUAGGACUAUUUAAUGUAGCCUGUAAGCAGUGAGGGCAAUAGCUAUGGAAAAGAAUAGGUCCCUGGCCCAGUGAGAUAGCUUAAUGAUAAAUACACUUCCUACCAAUCCUGAAAGCCUGGGUUAGAUCUAUGGGACCCUUAGUGUAAGUCAUCUUCCUCCCCUUGCAUUUGCUAUGGCAUGCAUGUGCCGUAUCCCACAAUAAAGUUAAUUUUAAUAGCUUUUGUUGUUGUUGCUAAAAGACUAGGUUCCUCAAAAUUGUAUCUUUGUUGAGAUAAAUAUUAGUGAGAAAUUAUUGAGGUAGAAAGCUUGGGACUUGGGGGAGAGGAGAGAAAAGAAAGAAAUAUCUAGGUUCCGAAGGUAGUCUUCAUCUCUUCAGCAUGUAUUCCUAGGAUGGCAUGCCAGUCCAGACAGAACCCAGGGACUGAGUGUAAUGACUGGGGGCAUCUGGGGUUGUACAGGGCACUGAUAAUGGUUAUAGAUCUGGCAGAGAAGGUGGACAGUAGAAGCCUGAAAUCAUAGCAUCAAUAAGAUAACCUUUAGUAGAAGAGUUUGGUUGAUACGUGCUGGUAAUGAGGAAAUCUGCAACAUUUUCUUUAAGUGUAACUGAUUGGAUAAAGAGUAUCAAAACUAGAAGCGAUAGCUCUAG